This 69-nucleotide transfer RNA is filed under the name Hyphomicrobium denitrificans. It matches the Rfam family "tRNA". From Rfam's summary of the family: Transfer RNA (tRNA) molecules are approximately 80 nucleotides in length. Their secondary structure includes four short double-helical elements and three loops (D, anti-codon, and T loops). The record is from RNAcentral. Lineage: Bacteria; Pseudomonadati; Pseudomonadota; Alphaproteobacteria; Hyphomicrobiales; Hyphomicrobiaceae.
GGGAGUAGCUCAGUUGGUUAGAGCGCCGCCCUGUCACGGCGGAGGCCGCGGGUUCAAGUCCCGUCUCUC